AUGGAGGGGAGCGCGGGGCCUCGCCGGAGUUCCACCCAGGAGGUAGGCAGCCCAGGCGGCGAAGCGGACCUCAUCAGCGCGCUCCCCGACGAGGUGCUCCUCCUCUUCCUCGCCCGCCUCCCCUGCGCCGGCGCCGCCGCGCGCACCAGCGUCCUCUCCCGCCGGUGGCGCGGCCUCUGGGCGCUCCUCCGCCAGAUCGUCUUCCGCGACGUGCCCUUCCGCUCGCUCGAGGCGGCGCUCGGCCGCGUCCCGCCUCCCCCGCACGCGGUUUCCCUCCUCUAAAUCUCCGUCCCCAAGGAGCAGCGGACAGACAGCGCCGGCGUCAACUCGCUGCUCCGCGCCGCCGCGCGGCUGGAGCCGGAGAAGCUCGACUUCCGCCUCCCCUCCCACUUAACCGACCCGCCUUCCGAAAGCAGUCUCGUCGCCGUCGACCUGCCUUGCUCGCACCGCGCCACCUCCAUCUCGCUGGGCCUCUCCACCCCCUUCUCCCUCCGCGUGCCAGCCGGCGCCCAGUUCCCCGGACUCGAGGCGCUGUCCCUGUCGCACUGCACUACCGAGCUCGACGCCCUGCUCUCCUGCUGCCCGCGCCUGCGCACGCUCCGCGUCACCAGGGAUUUGUUUCCUAACUACAAGUGCGACAUUAGGGUCAACUCCCCAUCGCUGCAGGAGCUUGUUGUGCACCACCGGAUCAGAGAGACACAACAUGUGGACAUUAUUGCGCCCGCACUUAAGCAACUGGCCCUCUCAUUUGCCAAUGGCGGCGAGAUCAGCAUCUCCGUCUUGGCACCAAUGGUGGAGAAGGUUUCGUGGAACUGCUGCUACUUGGGCCUCUUGGGGCACCACAUUGUGUUUGGUCUUUGGAGCCUCAAGAGGCUGUGGCUACAGACGGCAGAGAGACAAGGACAGCUAUCCUCGCUGCAAAUUCAUGCCCGUGCGGACUCGUUUUUACACGCUCAGGCGGACAACUUUACGCGGGAGAUAGAGAAACAUAUGGUUGCUGCCUUCUCUUGUUUAGAGCUACAACUCAGAGCAAAUGGGCAUGCUUUUGGAGGGUUUGUCUUUCAUCUCCUUGGGAUGGAUAAAAUUCGUGCUGCUACACGGAGGCUUAAGGUCAUCUUGAAGAGAUCAGCGAUGGAAGGAGGAUGCCGGCUACAUUGUCCUUGUAAGUUUCGGAACUGGAGGUUUGAGACUAUCUCCUUGGCUGCUCUGAAGGAAGUGGAGUUCGAUGGCUUCGAAGGAGAGGAUCAUGAAUUUGAUUUAUUACAAUUGAUACUUGGAUGUGCACCGACGUUGAAAAGAAUGAGUGUGCAGCUGUCAGAAGAGACCUCGGCAAGUCAUGAGGGAUGCGCAAAGAUAUACAGCAUCUUCAAGGCGUGUUCAUCUGUGAAAUGCGAUGUUUAUCACAGUUCUGGGUUAAUGCACGACAGCCAAAAUUGCCCUUCGAUGAGAUUCUCGGGUGUGUGGAUUCAGGGUGUGCAUUGA
This 1482-nucleotide ribosomal RNA is filed under the name Triticum aestivum (bread wheat). RNAcentral's name for it is "partial small subunit ribosomal RNA". Lineage: Eukaryota; Viridiplantae; Streptophyta; Magnoliopsida; Poales; Poaceae. The record is from RNAcentral.